Long non-coding RNA from Condylura cristata (star-nosed mole), 540 nucleotides. RefSeq lists it as uncharacterized. The transcript has 3 exons. Lineage: Eukaryota; Metazoa; Chordata; Mammalia; Eulipotyphla; Talpidae. The record is from RefSeq and is a predicted model, not a curated record.
UUCUACAAAUCAGGACUUUUCUCCCCCCAAAAGACAGCUGUUUACAAACACAUCCCAGAGCAGAAUUCAUAUAUCCAAAAGGUCUCUGGAGCACUUAAUCAUUUUUAAGAGUAUGGGAGCGCUGGCACUUAAGUUUGAGAACCACUGCUCUGAGGGAUUCUAUUGGUGAAGAGAGAAAAGAUAGUUGAAAAUUCGCAGCGGGAGGAUUGGUUAUAAACUGGAAAAAAAAAAAGGCAAAAAGUAAAUCAAAUUGUAUGGAAAAGCAAUGUGGAAUUUGCAGGAAGUCACCAUUUCAGGAAAGAAAUGCCUAGGAAAACUAGAAUGCAUGAAGACCACAAAAUACAUGAAGAAAAAUGGACACAAGUGAAGGAAAAGCACACGAUUCAUUAAUAAUGGUUGGGUUUUCAAGGUCUUCAAAACUUUCAGUAAUGAGUGGGUAGAUAGUGUUUGGAAUAUUCUCCAGAACAGAUCAUGUUAUCACAUAAAACGAGUCUCAAUACAUUUUAAAGAACAGAAAUCAUACAAAAAUGUUAUCAUAGU